GGGGCUGUAGGUCAGUGGUAGAGCACUUGCCUAGCAAGCAUGAGGCCCUGGGUUCAAUCCCCAGUACCA
Molecule: transfer RNA, 69 nt
Filed under: Heterocephalus glaber (naked mole-rat)
Lineage: Eukaryota; Metazoa; Chordata; Mammalia; Rodentia; Bathyergidae
Rfam family: tRNA
About the family: Transfer RNA (tRNA) molecules are approximately 80 nucleotides in length. Their secondary structure includes four short double-helical elements and three loops (D, anti-codon, and T loops).
Source: Rfam by way of RNAcentral